UCCCGGCCCCCUGCACAACCUCGCUCCUAUCCGCAGCUCUUCCCGGAGGAUUUUAGGAGUCCCUUCUCCCCUGGGACCCUUCUCCUCCCUUCCCAAUUCCGCUCCUCCCAGUAUCCGGAAGCGGGAGGGGGGGAUGACCCCCCCUUGACCUCUCCCUCCGGGAGCCGGGACCAAAAUAACCGGGCGGGAGGGGACACCUCGCAGGUAAACAUUCCCCCAGCAGCCCCGACACUGGCGGUGUGGGGCGCCGAGAGUGCACUCACUGCCCCCUAGUCUGUCCCCAAACUCCCUCAACUUGGGGUGGGGGGCGCGGGACUGGAACAAUAGGCAAGAAAACAAUGCCUGACCCGGUCCUCCAGGACCGGGCGGGGGGAGCCCCCUGACGCCUCCCUUCCCUUCAGGUGGGGUGGGGGAGGGGCGCCCGAGCCCCAGGAGGUCCCCGGAGGGCGCGGCCGGGGGCUCCCUGCUCGCGCCGCCCCCGGGGUCCCGCCGCCCCCCGCGGGCCACCCCCGUACCUUGGUGGACAGCCACGCUGCACGCGUGCCCAUCACAGUAGACCAGCGGGUUCUCGGCCCAGCCCCUCUCGUCCGAACAUACGCAGCAGCCUCCUACCAUCUCCUUCAUACUCCCAUGAGCUCCCUCCGGGGCUGGGGCGGGGGGCCGGCCGGCGGGGGUCGGGGGUCAGGGGGGGAGGGAGGGAGCGGGGGGCCGCGCGCCUCCUCGCUCCCUCCUCCUCCUCCUCCGCCGCCGCCGCUUCUUUUCUUUGCCUCCUCCUUCCUCCUCCUCGGCGUCCUCCUCCUCCUCCUCCUCGCUCGCUCUGUCUGGCCGCCCCCCCCGCCGUGCUCUCGCCCUCAUGCCCCGACGGGCCCCCCCCCCCGCAACAAUGAGACCCGCGCGCCGGGUUCGCCCCCUCCGCGCCGCGCGCCCGGCUACCAGGGCCGCCCGGCCGCCGCACAGCCCGGGCCCGGCGGGGGAGGCGCCGAGUGGCACAUCGCGGGCGCCCGCCCGCCCCGCGCCCGCCCCGCGCCGCCCGCUCACGCGCCGCCCCCCCGGCCCCCCUGCCCGGCCGCGGCAGCCAUGGCCGCGCGCCUCCGCUCGCUCGCUCCCGGCCCGCCCGCCGCCCGCCGCCGGGUAAAGUCUUAGGUUCAGGGAACAAAGCCUGGCUUGGUAGGGAGCUUUUCGCUCGCUCACUCGCUCGCUCGCUCCGCGCGUAUUUUCCCUCUUUCUUUUUCUUUCGGUGGCUGUCGGUUGUUGCGCCUGAGCUUUCCCUGUGCCUGCCCUUGCGUCUCGGGCCGGGGUCCCCGAUUCUCCAUACCCCUCCGCCCUUGUCUUCGUCUCUUGAACCCCGAGGAAACUCAGAGGUGGAGAUCGGAGGAAGGGGCGCUAGAAGGAACAGGAGCUACGUGGGCCGCUUGCCCUUCCGUGUCGGGGGUGCUCUUUGGGUGGCCGUUCGUGGGCUCUUUCCUCGGAGGCCCCUCUGGAGGGUAGACACUUUCACACGCAGACGUUUGUUCAUUACACAAAUAUUUAUUGAAUGCUUACUGUGUGCAGCCGCUGGGAUAGAGCAGUGAAACAACAUACAAAACAGGUAUAGAUUCCUGCCCUCAGGGAGCUUCCGAUCCAGCUUAUAGACUCAGGCGCGCGCGCACAGGGACUCAGACCCCUUAGAAGCACACCGAGGCACCCACGGACACACAAACUCACCCCCAGCCUCAUCCAGCCACACCACCGGACUCUCCCAGAGACACAAACCUCAGGUCCGACCCCGCAGGCACGCUUAUAGACCCACGCCAGUUAAAGACCCACGACUACGGAAGUGCCUGCAAACAGCACAGUUACACUUGACCUCUAGGCAAACACACCAGCACACAACAUAAACUCACACACAGCACCCCCAAAGGAUCAAAGCCUGACAUUGGGUCUGGGAAGAAGUGAGGGGCGUCAGCCCGAUGGCUUUAUCCCAACACCGGAGUGGACCAGGGGGACGCAAUCUGAUCCCCCUUCCCACUUCCUAAAGGGGGGGACGGACGCCCUCAGGGACCAAAGGUCACGCUCCCUCCGCGGGAGGUGGGGUGGCGGAGGGGAGAAGGGAGUCCGGAGGGCUUCAGCGACACUUCAAAGACCUUGCGCCCGGGAACGCUUCCUGCGGGGGAGGGGCAGACGGAGAGGAGAGGGGAAGAGCGGCAGGGGUACUUGCGGGUGGAGGAGGUUGCCCCCCUCUUCCGCGCACUGCCCCCCUGGCCGACUCUUCCGCCGGGACCGCCUCCUUUUCACCCGCACCUGUUCAACCGGAACAUCAAGGGGCCAGGACCCGCCGCCACCCCUCCCCUCGCGCCUAUUUAGUACCUUUCAUCCGGGAAGCGGGAGGGGGGGGUGUGUGUGAAUCCCCGCCCAGGAGGGGGGGGGAGUAGGACGGGGGAGAACUUGUCCUUGACCUGGUCUUUGGCGUCAGGGAUUUACUCCCUAAUCCCAGCGACACUGGCGUUUGGGGAGGUCGGGGAAGCUGAGCCCUGGGCUGCAGCCCUCCACCUCCCUCACUCCGGCGAGGACCCAAGAAUCCCGGAGGGCUGCCAGGACGUAGAAGCUCUAAACGGGCGCGGCGGGGAGGAGGCCCGUCUCUGCUGCUUCCGUGCCUGGGGGAGGGGGCCGAGAGCUAGGGGUUGUCGGGGCCGGCCGGAGGACCCGGAUUCCUGCGAGGACCGGGAUCCCUGCGAGGACUGCCAAAAGCCGGUAUCCUGGUCCGCUUUGUGAACUUCGCUCAUACGAAAAGUUAAGAAAAAGACGAGAAGUCUCACUUAGGAGUUUCUAACGAAUUACUUUUACUGACAAGAAUAAAACUUGAAGAAAAUUAAA
This 2853-nucleotide long non-coding RNA is filed under the name Lynx pardinus (Iberian lynx). The record is from RNAcentral. Lineage: Eukaryota; Metazoa; Chordata; Mammalia; Carnivora; Felidae.